RNAcentral lists this long non-coding RNA (557 nucleotides) under Rosa chinensis. Its description in RNAcentral is "sRNA RchiOBHm_Chr6g0246741". The record is from RNAcentral. Lineage: Eukaryota; Viridiplantae; Streptophyta; Magnoliopsida; Rosales; Rosaceae.
CGGCCGCACGGGCCUCUCUCUCUUCUUUCUCUCCUUCCUCUCGUCAUCCCUAUUAUUGCUGGAAAAGACUCCAUCCGGCCACCAUUUAUUGACACCGCCACCACCAAUUGAACCACAACACAAAUCCGAUCAAAACCGGAACCUCACUGUGGCCGGGGCCCGCCUGCAACCACUGGACGCGAGCAUCACAAUUUUCGCCGCCUUGUUCUUCGAUCUUCGUCAGCUUCCGGCCUUCUUUUCAACACACCGCCACCUUGGAACAACUCAGCAGACAAGGAGGAGCAAAACCCAGAGGUUCCGUUACCCACUGAUGCCGAGCGAGGCUGUACUCGCCGUCGCCGGAAACUGGGAUUCUGCAAGGAUCAAUUCGUCGUCUCCGGCGAUAUCUGUGCUACACAACCACCAUUAAUGGGAUCAGCAUCUCCCUUUUCACCAAAACCCUCUGGUUCCGACCUCCAAUUCCGGCUAGAAAUGCCGCACGCGCCGCCGCUGGCGCGUGGAGCACCGUGGCUCCGUUGCCAGAUUUCCAGACAACCUUUAUUAGGUAACUUAUCGUC